This 253-nucleotide ribosomal RNA is filed under the name uncultured bacterium. RNAcentral's name for it is "partial 16S ribosomal RNA". It matches the Rfam family "Bacterial small subunit ribosomal RNA", at positions 524 to 776 of the family's 1533-position model. The record is from RNAcentral.
UACGUAGGGUGCGAGCGUUGUCCGGAAUUAUUGGGCGUAAAGAGCUCGUAGGCGGUUUGUCGCGUCGGCCGUGAAAACUUGGGGCUUAACUCCAAGCUUGCGGUCGAUACGGGCAGACUUGAGUUCGGCAGGGGAGACUGGAAUUCCUGGUGUAGCGGUGAAAUGCGUAGAUAUCUGGAGGAACACCGGUGGCGAAGGCGGCAUCCUGGACCAACAUUGACGCUGAGGAGCGAAAGCCAGGGGAGCAAACGGG